RNAcentral lists this ribosomal RNA (875 nucleotides) under uncultured bacterium. RNAcentral describes it as "bacterial SSU rRNA". It matches the Rfam family "Bacterial small subunit ribosomal RNA", at positions 8 to 916 of the family's 1533-position model. The record is from RNAcentral.
AGGGUUCGAUCAUGGCUCAGGAUGAACGCUGGCGGUAUGCCUAACACAUGCAAGUCGUACGAGAGUUUUUAACUCUAGUGGCGGACGGGUGAGUAACACGUGAGAAUUUGCCUUUAGGAGGGGGAUAACAAUCGGAAACGAAUGCUAAUACCCCAUAUGCUUUUGAGUGAAAUGGAUUUAUAUUUAUCCGCCUAGAGAGAAGCUCGCGGCUGAUUAGCUUGUUGGUAAGGUAAGAGCUUACCAAGGCGACGAUCAGUAUCUGGUUUGAGAGGACGAUCAGACACACUGGAACUGAGACACGGUCCGGACUCCUACGGGAGGCAGCAGUGGGGAAUUUUCCGCAAUGGGCGAAAGCCUGACGGAGCAAUACCGCGUGAGGGAAGACUGCCUAUGGGUUGUAAACCUCUUUUUUCAGGGAGGAAUCAAUGACGUGUACCUGAAGAAUAAGCAUCGGCUAACUCCGUGCCAGCAGCCGCGGUAAGACGGAGGAUGCAAGUGUUAUCCGGAAUCACUGGGCGUAAAGCGUCUGUAGGUGGUUUAAUAAGUCAACUGUUAAAUCUUGAGGCUCAACUUCAAAAUCGCAGUCGAAACUAUUAGACUAGAGUAUAGUAGAGGUAAAGGGAAUUUCCAGUGGAGCGGUGAAAUGCGUAGAUAUUGGAAAGAACACCGAUGGCGAAAGCACUUUACUGGGCUAUUACUAACACUCAGAGACGAAAGCUAGGGUAGCAAAUGGGAUUAGAUACCCCAGUAGUCCUAGCCGUAAACAAUGGAUACUAGAUGUUGAACAGAUCGACCUGUGCAGUAUCAAAGCUAACGCGUUAAGUAUCCCGCCUGGGAAGUAUGCUCGCAAGAGUGAAACUCAAAUGAAUUGACGG